Molecule: ribosomal RNA, 253 nt
Filed under: uncultured bacterium
Lineage: Bacteria
Description: partial 16S ribosomal RNA
Rfam family: Bacterial small subunit ribosomal RNA
Source: RNAcentral
UACGUAGGGUCCGAGCGUUGUCCGGAAUUAUUGGGCGUAAAGGGCUCGUAGGCGGUCCGUCACGUCGGGAGUGAAAACUCAGGGCUCAACCCUGAGCGUGCUUCCGAUACGGGCGGACUAGAGGUAUGCAGGGGAGAACGGAAUUCCUGGUGUAGCGGUGGAAUGCGCAGAUAUCAGGAGGAACACCGGUGGCGAAGGCGGUUCUCUGGGCAUGUCCUGACGCUGAGGAGCGAAAGUGUGGGGAGCGAACAGG